AAUGAACGCUGGCGGCAUGCCUUACACAUGCAAGUCGAACGGCAGCAUGACCUCGCUUGCUAGGUUGAUGGCGAGUGGCGAACGGGUGAGUAAUGCAUCGGAACGUGCCUUUUAGUGGGGGAUAACGUAGCGAAAGUUACGCUAAUACCGCAUAUUCUCUGAGGAGGAAAGCAGGGGGCCUUCGGGCCUUGCGCUAGAAGAGCGGCCGAUGUCGGAUUAGCUAGUUGGUGAGGUAAAGGCUCACCAAGGCAACGAUCCGUAGCGGGUCUGAGAGGAUGAUCCGCCACACUGGGACUGAGACACGGCCCAGACUCCUACGGGAGGCAGCAGUGGGGAAUUUUGGACAAUGGGCGCAAGCCUGAUCCAGCCAUGCCGCGUGAGUGAAGAAGGCCUUCGGGUUGUAAAGCUCUUUCGGCUGGGAGAAAUCGCACUCUCUAAUACAGGGUGUGGAUGACGGUACCAGCAGAAGAAGCACCGGCUAACUACGUG
Molecule: ribosomal RNA, 489 nt
Filed under: uncultured bacterium
Lineage: Bacteria
Description: partial 16S ribosomal RNA
Rfam family: Bacterial small subunit ribosomal RNA
Source: RNAcentral